GCCAGUAUGGCGUAGUGGUCUGAGUGUUGGACUAUGACUCUAGAGAUCAGGAUUCGAUUCCCAGCUUGAUCUUG
Molecule: transfer RNA, 74 nt
Filed under: Phrynosoma platyrhinos (Desert horned lizard)
Lineage: Eukaryota; Metazoa; Chordata; Lepidosauria; Squamata; Phrynosomatidae
Description: tRNA-OTHER
Source: RNAcentral